GUGGGGAAUCUUGCGCAAUGGGCGAAAGCCUGACGCAGCCAUGCCGCGUGAAUGAUGAAGGUCUUAGGAUUGUAAAAUUCUUUCACCGGGGACGAUAAUGACGGUACCCGGAGAAGAAGCCCCGGCUAACUUCGUGCCAGCAGCCGCGGGAAUACGAAGGGGGCUAGCGUUGCUCGGAAUUACUGGGCGUAAAGGGCGCGUAGGCGGACAGUUUAGUCAGAGGUGAAAGCCCAGGGCUCAACCUUGGAAUUGCCUUUGAUACUUGCUGUCUUAAUUACGGGAGAGGUGAGUGGAACUCCGAGUGUAGAGGUGAAAUUCGUAGAUAUUCGGAAGAACACCAGUGGCGAAGGCGACUCACUGGCCCGUUACUGACGCUGAGGCGCGAAAGCGUGGGGAGCAAACAGGAUUAGAUACCCCUGUAGUCC
RNAcentral lists this ribosomal RNA (425 nucleotides) under uncultured bacterium. RNAcentral's name for it is "partial 16S ribosomal RNA". It matches the Rfam family "Bacterial small subunit ribosomal RNA", at positions 354 to 796 of the family's 1533-position model. The record is from RNAcentral.